GAUGAACGCUGGCGGCGUGCCUAACACAUGCAAGUCGAGCGAUUCUCUUCGGAGAAGAGCGGCGGACGGGUGAGUAACGCGUGGGUAACCUGCCCUGUACACACGGAUAACAUACCGAAAGGUAUGCUAAUACGAGAUAAUAUGCUUUUAUCGCAUGGUAGAAGUAUCAAAGCUUUUGCGGUACAGGAUGGACCCGCGUCUGAUUAGCUAGUUGGUAAGGUAACGGCUUACCAAGGCGACGAUCAGUAGCCGACCUGAGAGGGUGAUCGGCCACAUUGGAACUGAGACACGGUCCAAACUCCUACGGGAGGCAGCAGUGGGGAAUAUUGCACAAUGGGCGAAAGCCUGAUGCAGCAACGCCGCGUGAGCGAUGAAGGCCUUCGGGUCGUAAAGCUCUGUCCUCAAGGAAGAUAAAUGACGGUACUUGAGGAGGAAGCCCCGGUAACUACGUG
RNAcentral lists this ribosomal RNA (452 nucleotides) under uncultured bacterium. RNAcentral describes it as "bacterial SSU rRNA". It matches the Rfam family "Bacterial small subunit ribosomal RNA", at positions 28 to 507 of the family's 1533-position model. The record is from RNAcentral.